Molecule: long non-coding RNA, 5043 nt
Filed under: Manihot esculenta (cassava)
Lineage: Eukaryota; Viridiplantae; Streptophyta; Magnoliopsida; Malpighiales; Euphorbiaceae
Description: long non-coding RNA (MESC_LNC000161)
Source: RNAcentral
UCCCAAAACCUUUCCAUGUUCGGCGGCCGAACUUCACUUUCGGCGGCCGAACCUGGCAAACGCCUCCUUGGUCUUUUCUUUUCAAAACUCAAUUCCUUUCCAUUUAAAACCAUAAAAUCAGUAAAAACAUUUUAGAAAACACAUUUUACCCCUCUAGAAGCCUCUGGCAUCUUCAGAAUUCCAGAUUCCAACGGAGAUUCUGCCGGAAGGUAGGGAUUCCGAUGCCGGAAGGUAGGGAUUCCGAUGCCGGAAUCUAGCUGGGUAUUACAUUCUUCCCCCCUUUAAGAACAUUCAUCCCCGAAUGUUCAACAAACAAACAGGCAAUCUCAAAACAUAGCAUCAAUCAUACAUAAACAAGCAAGCAAACAAGCAAGCAAAGCCUAAAAACCUCUCUCCUAAAAGAGAGACACACGGGUACUGCUGGAGUAAGAACUCUCGGGUCUUCCAGGCACACCUUUUACCAAAAGAAACACCUUAGCAAUACCCAACCUUCUCCUAAACUCCACUGGCUUCCGCUGCGCUUCUCUGAUCCUUACUCUUUUCUCUUCAUCUUCACUAACUGGCUUCUUCUCACUGCUAACCCAAAACUAACUCUUCCUCUCACAGGUAGUACCCGGAUUUCAGAUCUAUCUUGGAAAACAAAUAGCUCCUACUAGCUGUCCCAAUAGAUCAUCCAUCCUGCAUGGAAAUACCUGCCCUUGGUAGUGACCUUGGUCAACUGCUUACAGUUGUUACAAAGUCUCAAGGAUUCAUCCUUCUUUUCCCACCACCACACUGGAACAAUCCAGGGUGAGGUACUAGGUCGGAUAAAACCCCUGUCUACUAAGUCUCGCCUCUACUCUGACUACUACCUUUCUCUAUGCUGGCGCCAUCCUGUAGGGGAGAAUAGAAAUGGUUCUAGGUCCAGACACCACUCCUAUGCUCAACUCUAACUCCCUGAUAGGUGGUAAACCUGACAACUAGCCUAGGAAAACAACUAAGAACUCUCUCUAACAACUAACACUGAGGCUAGUUCCCCGACCUGACUGCUAAACUCUCAACAAGAACUCGAACCCUCUGACAACCCCUCCUACGCACCCUACGAACCUGACAGGCUGACAUCAAACCUCUAGGCAUCCCUACUGUGUUCCCUCAACAGACUACCUCUGACCCAUCCUGUCCUCUGAACUUGACUACCUUGUCUCUACAGACCAAGAUAGCACCACGAGCAGAAACCAAUCCAUCCCUCGGUUGACGUCCAGACAGUCAAGUCUAGGACCUCAAAGUCGGGUGGAAGGCAUCUACCCUCAACUGACACUGAACUGGACCGGCAGACUGACUCUGCCACAGAUGGAUCACACUUGGGUCCACUAACCCAAAGAGAACACUCUAGCCUAGAAGCUAUUAACUCAACCGCUCGACGGCUCCUAGAGCAACUAAAGAAAGAGAAACUCCAGGGUUCACAAAACAUACACAUCAGAACAUUCAAAAGUGAGCGUACCUGGCACCACCAUGUUCGAUGUGUCUGCCUCCUGCUGAGCUUGGGUGAAGAUCCGAGCUGAAGCUAACGGACCUUCUCCACGGGAACCUUCAAAAGAAAAGGCUGACCCUCUUCCUCUGCCUCGACCACUAACCUGAACCAUGGCUGGAGCUACUGGCUGAGCCGCUCUACCUGAAGUUGCCCGCUGAGACUGUGCCAACCAGGGCGCAAUGGGACACUCACGUACCAUAUGCCCUUCCUGACCGCAUCUAAAACAUAGAUUAGUCCCAAUCAGACAGACUCCCUUGUGCGGCCUUCCGCACCUCAUGCAUCUUGAACUGCCUGAGCCAGAGCUUGAGCCACCAAAACCCAGACUAGCCUUCAAAUUCUUCCAAAACUUCUUCUUCUUCCCCCUCAGGGUUCUGCCCCACUUCUUGCUUUUCGUGGAGGCUGUACUCAGAGUGGAGGGAUCAAUCCCUCCUGAACCCGAGAUUCUGGAAUCCUGAGUCCGAGCAUCCUCCUGAGAAUCUCCCAUACCUUCUUCUGGCACUCUGAUUCCCAAACUGACAUCCCUUCUCUGAACAUCCAACUCCACUUCCCUCAUACUAGCUGACAUCCUUCUUGGAGCCAUUCCUUCUCUGCUUACAUCAAAAGACCUUCCAGGGUCCCUUGAUGUUCCCCAUCUGCUGACUCCCUAUGACUGCGCUCUUGGCAGAACAGGGGGAAAGGCGUCCAUACCUUCCCUUUCAGAUGGAACUCCAGUCGAUUCCACAGAUCGACGAGCACCUCGCAUUCUGGCUCCUCUGAAGAACAACACACAAGCAUACAAUCAAUCAUUAGCAUCAUACGGUUCAUAUGAAAACACAUAAACCUGCAACAUACAUAGCAUACAUAGUAUAACAUACAUAACAUUAAUGCACAUGCAUAACAUCAUAGCAUUUCACAUCAUCAUACAAGACAGGACUCCACAUCCUAUCCUAGUGGACAUGAUUCUUCCUAUUGUGCUUGCCCUUCUAUGACCUCUAAACCAACCUCGUUCCGAUGUGGGAUACCUCUAAUCCUUGAGCAUCUUUGCUCAACACACCGUACUGAUGAGGCCCAAAGCUCUGAUACCACUCUGUAAUGACCCGAAAAUCGAUACCCUUCUGUAACGGCCCGAACCGCUACCGGCGCUAGGAUCCAGAUCGGCUUAAGGCCGCCGGGACCCGUAGCAAGCCAAACAUACCUCCUAUCACCUGGUCAAAUCCCAUACAUGAUCAAAACUUUAACAUAAAAACUUAAACAUAUGAUGUAUAUACCGAGCCUGACCUGUAUGCGACAUAACUGAAAACAUAAAGAAACCCCCUACUAGAGCCCUCAUCAAAACUCAAGCUGGGUCAACAUAACAUACAUCAAGCCGGAGACACAUCCAAUGAACUAGAACCUAACCUGUGCAUGCAUCAAACCACAAACAUAAGACCUCCACUAGGGUCCUCAUCAAACUCUAGCGUGGUAAACAACACAUGCCACAAGAUUAGUUCAAACACAACUCAACAUUAAACCAAUACAUACAUCAUGUACUAAAAAGGGACUAACCAAGUCUUAAGGCCAAGCACAGUACUAAUACAUAAACACAACUCUACUAUACUUGCAUUACAUUACAUUAUCUUACAAUCCAUUAUAUCAAUUUAUAAUACAUGUCCACACUAAAAGUACUAAUCUAUUACUAUAGCAAGACUUUUACCCUUGACAUCUUCCUGGACUACCUCUGACCUGCAAAACUGGGGUUAGGGGAGAGGGGUGAGCUAAAAAGCCCAGUGAGUAGAAACAGGGAAAACAUUUCAUUAAUUACAUGCUCUUAUGAAAUGCGUCACAGCACAAACAAUUCAUAUAACGGAUUGGACAUGACCACCAAAACUCCCUCUGACUGUAACAUAACAUGGUGCCCGGCCCUUCGGGCUCCUCAGGACUUCAUUAUGCCCGGCCCUUCGGGCUCCUCAAGACUUCAUUAACAUAACAUAUCUAGGGCUAUUGGGGUCGCCUUGGUCCAACCACAUCAACAGUAAAUAAUGCAAUGCGUCAUAUUCGUGUAACUAGUGCAAUCAACCUAUUACAUAUAAACAUGAUGCAUGAACAUGCUUUAGGCAUUUGAAUUUCGUAAAAUAAAAGAUUUAGUUUCGUUCUACUCACCUCUGGCAGACGCUGAACUGACUCUGCAACUGCUAACACUGAUGGCCUCCUCGGUCCCUCGGGUCCGAUCCUACACAGGUGGACUCGAAUGAGGAGCCAAACAUACUCUAACAACUCAUAAACAACUACCCAAAAACCCCCUAAAACAUCACUAAAACAUCACUUAAACAUGCAUAGAAAACAACCAUGAAAAGGCUGGACAGGGCACUUUCGGCGGCACCUUCGGCGGCCGAAAGUCCCUCUCCAGAGACGAAAGUCAGGCACUUUCGGCUGCCGAACCUUCCUUCGGCGGCCGAAAGUCUGCUUUCAAGCUAAAACUCAACUUUCGGGGGCAAGGUUAGGCGGCCAAUCUAUGCAUCCAUAGGCAGGUUCGGCGGCCGAACCUGAGUUCAUCCAGAACUCAGCCUCUUAUGAAUUCAAGCCUCCCAAACCUUCUAAACACCCCAAACCAAGCACCCAACCUCCUAAAACAUGCAUAACCCUUAACCAUGCACACAGGAGCUUAAACAAGCUUAAACUCCAACAAAGAACAUCAAAAAGCAUACUUAAAUAGCUUAUGACCCACAUAAGCCAAAACCACUCAAAACUUCACUUGCUCUUUCCCAAUCAUGCAUACACUCUCCCACAUGCAUAAACUAGCUUAAACCUUCAACAUAACAUCACAUAAACAGACAUCAACAGGCAUAAGCAUACAUUAAUAUACAUUGGGCAUAAAACCCACAUAAACCUAAAUAUGCAUAUCUACCCAUACUCAACCAUUAAAACUCCAAUAAACUUACUUAAAACUUCAUUAAACACAAAGGAAACAAAGAUCUACACUUACCUCUUGAAGAUCGAGGGUUGGUGCGAUCCCUAACUCGGAGGUGUGGAGGAUCCAAGCUCCAACAAUCUCCAAGCUCCCAAAACUCCUACUUAAGCUUCAAAUCUUCAAACACAAGGGUAGAACUCAUGAAAACUUGAGGGAUGGGUAGAGAAAACAUGAAAAUGACCAAAGGAAGGCAAAGACCCACCUGAGCUCGAGAAUGGGGAGAAAACUCGCCCAUUUCCGAUCUGAGGGCUCUUUAUAGGUGGCCUGGUCAAAGACCUUCAGCAGCCUAACGUGCCCCCUAAACUCAUGCAUGUUCGGCGGCCGAACUUGAGGUUCGGCGGCCGAACCUUGGUUCGUUCAAACAAAGCUUUCGGAGGCCAAAAGCGCUCCCAAAACCUUUCCAUGUUCGGCGGCCGAACUUCACUUUCGGCGGCCGAACCUGGCAAACGCCUCCUUGGUCUUUUCUAUUCAAAACUCAAUUCCUUUCCAUUUAAAACCAUAAAAUCAGUAAAAACAUUUUAGAAAACACAUUUUACCCCUCUAGAAGCCUCUGGCAUCUUCAGAAUUCUAGAUUUCAACGGAGAUUCCGCCGGAAGGUAGGGAUUUC